RNAcentral lists this ribosomal RNA (492 nucleotides) under uncultured bacterium. RNAcentral describes it as "partial 16S ribosomal RNA". It matches the Rfam family "Bacterial small subunit ribosomal RNA", at positions 29 to 507 of the family's 1533-position model. The record is from RNAcentral.
AGUGAACGCUGGCGGUAGGCCUAACACAUGCAAGUCGAACGGCAGCACAGUAAGAGCUUGCUCUUACGGGUGGCGAGUGGCGGACGGGUGAGGAAUACAUCGGAAUCUACUUUUUCGUGGGGGAUAACGUAGGGAAACUUACGCUAAUACCGCAUACGACCUACGGGUGAAAGCAGGGGAUCUUCGUACCUUGCGCGAUUGAAUGAGCCGAUGUCGGAUUAGCUAGUUGUCGGGGUAAAGGCCCACCAAGGCGACGAUCCGUAGCUGGUCUGAGAGGAUGAUCAGCCACACUGGAACUGAGACACGGUCCAGACUCCUACGGGAGGCAGCAGUGGGGAAUAUUGGACAAUGGGCGCAAGCCUGAUCCAGCCAUACCGCGUGGGUGAAGAAGGCCUUCGGGUUGUAAAGCCCUUUUGUUGGGAAAGAAAAGCAGCAGGUUAAUACCCCGCUGUUCUGACGGUACCCAAAGAAUAAGCACCGGCUAACUUCGUG